This 1413-nucleotide long non-coding RNA is filed under the name Oncorhynchus kisutch (coho salmon). Its description in RNAcentral is "lncRNA (ENSOKIG00005001191.1)". Lineage: Eukaryota; Metazoa; Chordata; Actinopteri; Salmoniformes; Salmonidae. The record is from RNAcentral.
GGGGUGUCGUUUUUGUUGUUGUUGAAUUGCAGACUGCCCCGUUAAGAGAACGAAGUUGGUUGGCCAGGAGGGGUCCGCCAGUCACCAGGGCAUUUCAGCAGUCGAUGUGACCAAGCCCCUUUAAAACAUUACGCAUAUCGGGGGCUGGUUUAUCUAGGGCUGUCGUGAGGUAAUCUAUCCAUUCUCGCCGGGCAGGCCGACAUGUGGUAAUCGUAGAAAGCGCACACUGCAAUAUGAGAAAAAAGCAAUAACAAUAAGAGCGCGCACGAGUUGCUUUUAAGCCGGGAAAUGUACAUGGAACAUUGCAGAUUUUACUAAAGCUAAAGAUUGUUUGAUCUCGUGAAACAACCUUAAACCAGCAGAAAACUAAUACUAACCAAACGCAAGUUUGAACGACAAUGGAAUUUGGGUUCUUCUGACCCCUGGGAACCGUUGUGAUUUGCCUGGAUUUAAAAGCACAAGUUGCUGACAAAUUGGAUAAACUUGCCCCCCAAUUCGGCCAGCCGACGGUACUGAACUCACUUUCCUUGUAUCCAGAACGAAACGGCGGGUCGUGGAAUUUAACCUGAUUUAUAAGAAUUGAAGAGGGCUUGCAGUUGCCUCACAAAUCACCUAGCAACCACACCAGAGUCUGUCUGUUGGAACUCCUGAGUUUUGCUUCCACUGGAAACUUCUGGAAGAUUACCCAUUAUUUUGUUUUCUAAGGACCAAGAAAACGGAGGGAGAACCUAUUCAAAGAGCUGUGAAUCCCUUUCUGCAGAUAGAGGUCCCAAUGAAUGCCCCGAGAGAAUAAGGAUACAUCCUUUCUAUGUUCUAUGUGUACCUAUGUCAGAGCACAUUAUGAAUAACAAAAAUACUGUUUUUAAAGUCCGACACAAUGUAUAAACCUAUUACAACUGGAGCAGGCCAACCCUGCUGGGUGUGCCUGCUUCUGUUUCAGCCCAGCACUAAUACACCGAAUUCAAUUUAUAAAACCUAAUUAGUUGAUAAUUAAGUGCGCUAUUGCUGGGAUCAGUGGAGCAAGGUUGGCAACCUUUGGAAUGGACUUUUUUUUGUUCACGUGAAAUGUAUGCUUUAGUAAUGAAUAAUAGCCUACGUGUUACUAAGAUGUCUAACCUUUUCCAUAUGCGUUAGCUUGUACACUAUGCAAUUAUAUUAAAUAGUGUUGAUUCUUUUGAAGUGAAGUGUUUAAACUUGUGUCAAUUGUUAACUUAAAACUAUUCAUAAUGAACUAGUGUCAAUGUUUAAUCACAGAUCACAAUCCUGCAAUAAAGAGUGAAAGGAAAUCUCUAAUUUCUGUGUUGUAUACUGAAAUGAACUUGACUUUUUUGUUUAGUUGUAAGCUCUCCAAUGAGUUUUAUUUGAUUGUCACUCUUUUUUUCAGGAUAUCAGCCAUGUGAACUAGUGAUGCAC